RNAcentral lists this ribosomal RNA (253 nucleotides) under uncultured bacterium. RNAcentral's name for it is "partial 16S ribosomal RNA". It matches the Rfam family "Bacterial small subunit ribosomal RNA", at positions 524 to 776 of the family's 1533-position model. The record is from RNAcentral.
UACAGAGGAGCCAAGCGUUGUCCGGAUUGACUGGGCGUAAAGCGCACGCAGGCGGUCGGGCGCGUGGGGUGUGAAAUCUGGCCGCUUAACGGCCAGGCGCCAUCCCAUACGGCUCGACUGGAGUGAUGCAGAGGUCGAUGGAAUUGCCGGUGUAGUGGUGAAAUGCGUAGAGAUCGGAAAGAACACCAACGGCGAAAGCACUCUGCUGGGCCGACACUGACACUGAGAGACGAAAGCUAGGGGAGCGAAUGGG